UAUGAGUUGUAAUUAUUACUCUACUGAACCGUACUUCAUGCCACCACUUAACAUCUAAAACUAAACAUAUAUUGAAUUUUGAAAUUAUUCCAUCUCAACUGUUAUCUCUCUCCCUGGUUAAAUUUAUUUUCUUAUUUCUUCUAGAUCUUUGAACAAAAAAAAUCUUCUUCAAGAUCUAUUCGUGUUAUCCUCUACAAAUCCAGUUUUAGAUUCAACUCCCCAAACUACAUUCAUCUCCCUAUCAUCAGAUCCGCCAUGUUUCGUUUCUAAAAAGAAGAAACCAUAGACUCCGUCAAGUCCCAUCUCGAUAAUUGCCACCUCCUCACCGCCAUCAAAUACACAACCUCACCGUCAAGCAGCUCCAAGACCUUUAAACCCGGUCCUGUUCUGUCCAUUCACAGGCACUAGAUUACCUUUUGUCUGUAUCCUCUCUUUCUCUCUGAUAUGGGCAACAAAAACGCGAGAGACUCUCGAAGCCAACCACAACCCAUCUCUGUUCGAAGACAACGAAUGUGCUGAGAUUAACUCUCGUUAACAACCCAUGUCUUCUUCCUCCGCAUCUCCUCCUGAGAUCAUGGGUCUAUCUCUUCCUCAGACCCUUGUGCUACUCAAUCUACUCUCAUGUUUUUUCCUCAGGUGUGCUCUUUUCCGAUUUAUGAUGGGCAUGGUGGUUCUUUAGCUGCAUAGUUUUCUAAGAAGCAUCUUCACCUUGACGGUUUUCAGCUGGGUUACUACGUGAGUUGAAUUUCUAUAUGAUUGGGAAAGAUAAAAGGACCGAACCUUUUGAAGGGCUCUGAAGCUAGAUAUGACUCAGACUCAUCAAACAGAGCUCAACUUUUUUACCAAGAUUGAACAGCUUACACAGAUGCCUCGAAAAUUAGAGAAGGACACACAAGGGAAAAACAUGAAAAUUGUGGUUUGGUGAUUGUGUAUGACAAUUGUAUCCGUAUUUAAUAUCAUAUCCUAAUAACUAAGUGGAUGUGUAGUUGUUAUCCAACUAUCAUUGAGUUUAUACUUGCAUUUCCCAAAUAUCGAGAUACUAUUGUUAAUAUCCGGUUUUAAUCCUUCUGA
Long non-coding RNA from Brassica oleracea var. oleracea, 1071 nucleotides. RefSeq lists it as uncharacterized. NCBI's taxonomy places the organism in Eukaryota, Viridiplantae, Streptophyta, Magnoliopsida, Brassicales, Brassicaceae. The transcript has 3 exons. The record is from RefSeq and is a predicted model, not a curated record.